Molecule: long non-coding RNA, 264 nt
Organism: Suncus etruscus (white-toothed pygmy shrew)
Lineage: Eukaryota; Metazoa; Chordata; Mammalia; Eulipotyphla; Soricidae
Exons: 3
Source: RefSeq, a predicted model, not a curated record
CACUAUUUUCCUGCAGUCCCAACUCGCUCAGCGUCCCGCGGGGCUGACUUCAGCGCUGACAGCCGGCCCGCCCCGUGCACGGAGGAGCCACUGGCAGUGAGAUUUCAGGAGGGGUUUCCAUGGCAACCGGGGGCACCGCACAGAGCAUCUGCCCAUCCCUGGAAGGCCUCUGGCACCCACCAGGAGCAAUGUGAAUGAUUCAGUGUAGACCGGGUCACGUGAGCUCUGGGGUUUAACCCUAGUAGAGCCAGAGUUGUUGCAGGU